ACCUGGUUGAUCCUGCCAGUAGUCAUAUGCUUGUCUCAAAGAUUAAGCCAUGCAAGUGUAAGUUCACGUCACGAUUAAGAAUGGUCGAAACCGCGAAUGGCUCAGGAACCGGAUCUAAUCCCCGGGAUCGUAUAUAUAUAUCCUCUACGGAGGUAAAUUGGAUAACUGUGGUAAUUCUAGAGCUAAUACAUGCAACUAAAGCCAUGAUCGUCGAAUGGUAGGUAUAUAUGUUGUUGUUGGUUAAUACCGAUCGGCUUAACGUCGUCGUCACGUACGUUUCUGUCUGUCUAGUCGGCGUCAGUUCCUCGUCCGUUGUCSUCCUCGUUGUCGUAGUGUAACUACUUUCAAUUUAUUACUCCGUUCGAGUAGGUGAUCGCGGCGCAACAUAUUAGACUGAGACCGAUGCGUUUUGCAGUUCGUCCGUAGUCGAUGUCGUCUUGCGCGUUCAAGUGCUGCUUGUAGAAAGGACACAGAAUGUUGUGUGUAAGAAGAAGAAUUGACUCGCAUACACACCCGUGUGUGUCGUGUCGGUCGUCGUCGUACUACUACUACUAUUGAUUCCCCUACUUAGUGUGCCUUGUCGUGUAGUCUUCUUCGUCUUCGCGUUUCUGUACACGCUCGCUAUUUGGUGACUCUGGAUAACACAAUUGUCGAUCGCUAUGGAUGCUGUUUAUUUUUCGUAAAAGGACACAAUUACCCGGCGACGGAUCCUCCGUGGGUCCGCCCUAUCAACUGUCGACGGUCGGAUAAUUGCCUACCGUGGUUGCCACGGGUAACGGGGAAUCAGGGUUCGAUUCCGGAGAGGGAGCAUGCGAAACGGCUACCACAUCCAAGGAAGGCAGCAGGCGCGCAAAUUACCCACUCCCGGCACGGGGAGGUAGUGACGAAAAAUAACGACGCGGGACUCUGUCGAGGCCCCGCGAUCGGAAUGAAUACACCUCAAAUCCGUUAAUGAGGAUCAACCGGAGGGCAAGUCUGGUGCCAGCAGCCGCGGUAAUUCCAGCUCCGGUAGCGUAUAUUAAAUUUGUUGCGGUUAAAAAGCUCGUAGUCCGAAUUCGGGUCUAAAAAAAAAACGUUUUUGCAAAAAAACGUUCGGGGCGUCGGCGCCAUUGUUCGUCAUUCGGACUUUGGUUGAUUUUUUAUUCCGUUCGCACACCCGGCCCUAUCCGCCGGUACGUAUGAGGGAAGGUAAAUCCGUUUGUAGUGAUGAUGAUGACGAUGAAAUUAUGUGCGUAGUAGUUUGUUUGCUUUUUAUUAAAAAUCGGUGCGUUUUUUGUUGUGAAUAUCACUGUUGGUUUCGAUGUGUUGGUGAUGUUGGUGGUGUUGUUGUUGUGUGUAAACCAAAAAUAAAGUCGAGUUAACUACUCUUUCUUUAAUAUAUUACUCAUUCACGACGUCGUCGUUGUCGUUGGURCGAAGAAAAAGACAACUUUAAUUUAUAAUACGUUCGCUAUUGGUGAAGAAUUGCUUUUUCUUUCUACAACAAUGUAAACAAAAGUCUGUGUCUCUCUAUUAAUAACGCGAUUUACUAAACGAGUUCGCGUCGUGUCCCUUGUUCGAUUCCUCCGAGGGUGCUCUUCACCGAGUGUCCGAGGCGGCCGGUAUGUUCACUUUGAAAAAAUUAGAGUGCUCAGAGCGAGCUCCGUUAAGCUUGCAUACGAUAAGCAUGGAAUGAUAGAAAAGGGCCUCGUCUACGUGUCUGUCGGUCUCCGUUUACGACGAGGCAAUGAUCGAAGGGAGCGGUUCGGGGCCACUCGUAUUGCGACGUUAGAGGUGAAAUUCUUGGAUCGUCGCAAGACGUACUGCAGCGAUGGCGUGUGGCAAGGACGUUUUCCUCGAUCAAGAGCGAAAGUCGGAGGUUCGAAGACGAUCAGAUACCGUCGUAGUUCCGACUGUAAACGAUGCCGACUGGCGAUACGCCGGCGUUCGCUUCGAUGACCCGGCGGGUAGCCUGUGGGAAACCAGAGUUGGUUCCGGGGGGAGUAUGGUUGCAAAAUCGAAACUUAAAGGAAUUGACGGAAGGGCACCACCAGGAGUGGAGCCUGCGGCUUAAUUUGACUCAACACGGGAAAACUCACCCGGUCCGGACACCGGUAGGAUUGACAGAUCGAUAGCUCUUUCUCGAUUCGAUGGAUGGUGGUGCAUGGCCGUUCUUAGUUGGUGGAGCGAUCCGUCUGGUUGAUUCCGAUAACGAACGAGACUCCAGCCUGCUAACUAGCGCGUCGAUUAGUGCUAGUUUAUGUAUAUCAUGUAUGUAUUGGCCAGUCGGUUAGCUGGCGCUUCUUAGAGGGACGGGUGGCGGAAAGCCACACGAGGCGGAGCGAUAACAGGUCUGUGAUGCCCUUAGAUGUCCGGGGCUGCACGCGCGCUACACUGGAGGUAUCAGCGAGGACUCAUCCCCUGGCCCGAGAAGGUUGGGAAACCUCUGAACCACCUCCCGUGAUAGGGAUCGGGGCUUGUAAGCAACCCCGUGAACGAGGAAUUCCCGGUAGGCGCGGGUCAUCAGCCCGCGUCGAUCACGUCCCUGCCCUUUGUACACACCGCCCGUCGCUACUACCGAUCGAACGGUCCGGUGAGGUCCUCAGAUCUGGCCGACGACGGUAACAUUGUUGAUGUCUUCGAUGACACGAUGAGAUUUGAUGUUGUUUUUGGAUAUUGCGAUUAUGAUUAUGGAGACGAUUUAAGAGAUAUAACGACUUUUGAUAUAUAGAGUUGCUUGGUUUCGUUCCGGAGUCGUAAAUAGUAUAUUCUCUUUGAUAUAGUUUGCUUGUUUUUUUAUUGACUAUUGUUGUUGUUUUCGUUCUUCUUCUACAACUUUGGUGUUUUGUUUGUGCUUGUCGAUUUCUUGACGUUGUCGUUUGAUGGCCCGGAGAAGACGACCGAACCCGAUCGUUUAGAGGAAGUAAAAGUCGUAACAAGGUUUCCGUAGGUGAACCUGCGGAAGGAUCAUUA
This 2952-nucleotide ribosomal RNA is filed under the name Inopinoteuthis magna. RNAcentral describes it as "SSU rRNA". Lineage: Eukaryota; Metazoa; Mollusca; Cephalopoda; Octopoda; Cirroteuthidae. The record is from RNAcentral.